AUGCCUUGCGUCGUCGGACCCCGGGUCGUCGUUUGGCCCGCCCGGGAUUUUUCCAUGCGUUGGCAUGCGGCGCACGGCAAGUGGGCGCAGCGUGUGGAGAGGGUGGGACGGCUACCCGAGGCCGAGGUCGAGGUCUCCGGUCCACGCCUGCGCGGCCACGGUGGAGGGAUCACUGAUGCAGAAUGUAACAAGCUAGCCGUGACUGUGCCUGUGGUGGGAACGGGCGCCCGUGAGCGGCGGGCGGACGACGACGACGACGUACGGCCCCGCAUUCCCAUGACGGCGAGGAGGCGAGACGGGAGGAUGGACUGCUGGAGUGAUUACUUGGAUUCUCUCUCUGGGCCUAGCUAG
This 351-nucleotide ribosomal RNA is filed under the name Triticum aestivum (bread wheat). Its description in RNAcentral is "partial small subunit ribosomal RNA". Lineage: Eukaryota; Viridiplantae; Streptophyta; Magnoliopsida; Poales; Poaceae. The record is from RNAcentral.